UACGUAGGGGGCUAGCGUUGUCCGGAAUCAUUGGGCGUAAAGCGCGUGUAGGCGGUCCGGUAAGUCCGCUGUGAAAGUCGGGGGCUCAACCCUCGGAUGCCGGUGGAUACUGUCGGGCUUGAGUACGGAAGAGGCGAGUGGAAUUCCUGGUGUAGCGGUGAAAUGCGCAGAUAUCAGGAGGAACACCAAUUGCGAAGGCAGCUCGCUGGGACGUUACUGACGCUGAGACGCGAAAGCGUGGGGAGCAAACAGG
Molecule: ribosomal RNA, 253 nt
Filed under: uncultured bacterium
Lineage: Bacteria
Also listed under: 2 other names
Description: partial 16S ribosomal RNA
Rfam family: Bacterial small subunit ribosomal RNA
Source: RNAcentral